GGGGAUAGCCUUUGGAAACGAAGAAUAAUACCCUAUAAAACCAUAAAAGCACAUGCUAGAAUGGUCAAAGUGAUAGCGGUGUAAGAUGGACUUGCGUCUGAUUAGCUAGUUGGUGAGAUAAAAGCUCACCAAGGCAACGAUCAGUAGCCGGCUUGAGAGAGUGUACGGCCACAUUGGGACUGAGACACGGCCCAG
RNAcentral lists this ribosomal RNA (195 nucleotides) under uncultured Eubacteriales bacterium. Its description in RNAcentral is "uncultured Clostridiales bacterium partial 16S ribosomal RNA". It matches the Rfam family "Bacterial small subunit ribosomal RNA", at positions 139 to 334 of the family's 1533-position model. The record is from RNAcentral. Lineage: Bacteria; Bacillati; Bacillota; Clostridia; Eubacteriales.